This 808-nucleotide long non-coding RNA is filed under the name Octopus vulgaris (common octopus). The record is from RNAcentral. Lineage: Eukaryota; Metazoa; Mollusca; Cephalopoda; Octopoda; Octopodidae.
AUGUAUAUAUAUAUCAGGUAUGUAUAUAUUUCAAUGCAAAAUCAAUGUUUAAUGCACUUCAGUAAUAUUGAAAAUAAUAAUAAUAAUGAUAAUAAUAAUAAUAGUAAUGAUAAAAAAGUAUUGGGAAAAAAGGCAACCAAUUUGCAGUGACUCUCUCUUAGAAUCGGUAAAAUUUUUUGAUUUAUUUUCCUUCUCAACAGUUUUUGUAUUGUUUUUGUUGUUGUUGUUGUUUUUGUUGUCGUUUUUUUUUUUCUCUCAAAGAGGAAAAAAAAGGAAGGAAGGAAGGAAAGAAGAAAGAAAGGGAAAAAAAAAAAUGAAAGAAAGAGAAAAAUCUCAGAACGGAAGUAGAAUCGGUGUUGUGUUUUAUCUACUGUUGUUGAAAUUAUGGAAUGGUGAAUAUUUCCUGAUGAACUUUUAAACAAUUAAUUGUAUUAAUUAAUGCUCAACCAAUUAUUACUACUAAUUGCCAAAAUGAGAACCUAAGAAAAAAAAAAAAAAGAAAAGAAAAUGAUAUGGCUAAAAAAAAAAAAAAUUGGAAAAAAAAAAUGCCUCACUUUUUUUUUUUCAUAACAUAUCAAAUAUAUUUGUUUAAUUAAUUAAUUAAUUUAAUUUUAAUUAAUUGAAAUUUUAAUUAAAUUAUAUCUUGUAAAUUAUAAAUAACCAGAUAAUCUGGUUUCUGAAUCUAAUUCCUGGAACUCACCUCAGUUGCAUGCAAUUCUUCAAUCAAAUAAAUGAAUUAAUCAAAAUGACUAAUGACUAAUGAAUAAAAUAAUGAAUAAAAAAAAAAUAAUGAUGAUAAUUGAAAUCU